CGUCUUGUUCCAGAGCCCCAUGUCCGAGUCCGGUUCGGAGAACAGGAAGUUCAAGUGUAAUCAGUGUGGAAAGGCUUUUAAAUACAAGCAUCACCUCAAAGAGCACCUGCGCAUUCACAGCGGUGAGAAGCCGUACGAAUGCUCGAGCUGUAAGAAGCGUUUCAGUCACUCGGGCUCCUACAGCUCACACCUCAGCAGUAAGAAGUGCCUCAGCGGCGGCACGCUGGGAAACGGAGCUCAUUAUAACGGGUACCUCUUCCCGUCGCCCACAUCGCCCCCUGCUGUCAGCGGGAGGAACAGCAGCCGAGGGAAGAGAUCUCCGUACGGGCCGCUGGCUCAGUUCCCGCUGGAGUCGUCUGUUCCCGUCCUGAGCCGGUCGUGGGACCCGGCGGAGGAUCUGGCGCUCAGGGCGGGUGUGUUUAAGGGCACCACGCUGCUGCCGCUGCUACAGUCACGCAGCAAAUUCGAGCAUCUGCUGCAGGAGAUGCUGCGGAGGGAGGUGGGAGAUGAGAAACAAGCUAACAACUCUCGGCGAACAGUGACACCCAGACGUCGCCCACCACCAAUCACUCGCCCUAUAGAGAGCUCUCGCCGGCGCAGCGAACAUCCUGGCAUUCUGUGCCACAGCAGAUCCUCGUGCCUUUACCGCCCCAGCGCAGCUGGAUAAUCGCUGGCCGAGCGAAGAAAGCGUCAGCCCGAUGUCACCCGCUUUACCUGAACGCCAGCAUCUGAUUGGCUCGCGCUUCGGCUCUCCUUCAAGGGUGGACCUGUCUAUCAACACAUCACCACGGCAACCAAACCAUAUUCAAAGCGAGCCUUUAGACUUGUCAAUUCCUAAACUGCAUUCGGUCCAUAACGCAUCACGGAAUCCGGCGUGUAACGGUUACUCGCUGCAUCACGACAGACGCGACGGCGAGGGCGUGUUCACGAGACUGACUCCGCCCUCACAGCAGCAUGUGGGCGGAGCUUAUGCGGCGUCGCCGCUGUUCAGCAGCACAUUGUUCAGCAGCUUCCCGGUCUUCAAUCACAUGAUCCCCGCCGGUCUGGGACACAACGGUCUGACGUCACUUCCUCUCACGCCAACCUCACCAAAUACAGGCUUCCUGUCUCCAGUGGCGUAUAUGGUGGAGGCGGAGUCAGAAUCAGUGCUUAAGAGAAUGCAACAUGAAAAACAUUCGUUCAUGACUGAAGCGCUGAGCCGCGGCGCUCUGGAGUAUCUGUGUCUGAUGGAGGAUGGGAUGGAUGGAGAGAUCAGUCCUGGGAGGAAGAGGCUGAAAGAAGACGGAGGAAGGACUGUACGCCUGCGACAUCUGCGACAAAACCUUCCAGAAGAGCAGCUCUCUGCUGCGCCAUAAAUAUGAGCACACAGGGAAGAGACCUCACGAGUGUGUGAUCUGUAAGAAGGCGUUCAAACACAAGCAUCAUCUGAUUGAACACAGCCGCCUGCACUCCGGAGAGAAGCCGUAUCAGUGCGACAAGUGCGGCAAACGCUUCUCACACUCGGGCUCGUACUCGCAGCACAUGAACCACCGCUACGCCUUCUGCAGCCGCGACAGCGACCCGGACGCCGACCCCCAGCCGAGCCCCGUCACAGAGUCACACGACUGCAGCUCGGAGGACGAGAACACGCUCGCAGAAACACUUAUGAGAGAGACCAGCCGACAGACGGAGAGCAGACGCUCCUUCAGUGCUCACCAAAGAUGUGAAACAAACACAAUCGAUCGAUCAAUGCCAAGCUUCUCAGAAAACCUGACAAAGUCAUACUUCACAUCAAAACAACACAAAUUAAAUAUCAAAAAGAUUUAGAAAGUAUUGUGAUGCACAUGUAUAUGCACCAUGCCUAAAAAGAAUUGCAAUAUAUUACAAUCUGAAAUGGUUUCGAAAGGAGGCCUUUUCUUUUUCUUUUUCUUUAUGCGAAAUAGAAUUACAAAAAAAAAUUAAUUCUUCUAAGAAUGUGUCAAAUUUCAACAAAAAAAUCAUAAAAAUACAUAAAUAUGAAAUUAGAUUUUACAUAAAGAAAAUGUGCCUGUUUUUGGAAAAAUAUUUAAUAUUUUUCAUACUGGCGUUUAGAUUCGUAUUAGCAUAACGAAAAGAAUUAAUAAACAAAAUAAAAAUCUAAUUAUUGUAAUGCACAUUAUAUUUAUAUUGAAUUUGUUAUGAGGCUUAAUAAAAAAAUACAUAUAUAUAUAUAUAUAUAUAUUCUGCAAAGAAUGUGUUAAAAGUCAUGGUUCACACCAAAGUAAUAAAUAAAUAAAUAAAAUAUUAAAUAUUUUGCAUAAAGAAGAUAUGCCUGUUCUUUAAGAUUUUUUAAUUACUUAUAAGGAAAAAAAUAAUAAAUAAAAAUACAAAUAAAUAAAUUAUAUAUAUAAAUAUAUAUAAUUUUUUUAAAUUAAUUUAUUUUUCUGUUACAAUUGGAGUGAAAUAUGACCCAGAAGUUUUCCUGAAAUUGAGGCAUUUUAAGAGCUCAGGAGCCGUUAUUAACACAAGACAGUAGUGAAAUCUGAAAUAUUCCAGUAUAAUUAUUGAGCAGCAGUAAUCAAGCGCUAAUUAAUGACCGGUUUAUGGUCUCCUCCGUCAUAAUGAUCUCAAACUGCACUAGAACUCAUCAUCCAACACAGAUUUGACUUUCUUCUUCAUCAACUCAACAAACACACGCCAAGUAUUUGCACAAACCCUGAUGCACCAAAGACUGUGUUCUUGAUGCAAUGCAAUCCAUUCCUGAAGUGUCCUUUGGAGACGGAGAAAGCUGGAAAAGCGCUUUAAACAUGCAGGAGUUUAAUGAACACAAGCGGUGCUUUAAAUCUGCCUUCAUUCACGCAGUACUCGUCUUUUCUACUUUAACUCUGUAAACAUGGACGACGCACCAAAACCAGAACGGUGCACUAUUUCCACCAGUGUUAUUUUUAUACACAUUUUUUAAGCUUUGUUAAAAUGUUAAUACAUAAUCUUUGUAAUAAAGUUGUACAUAUUUUGGAAAGUACAGACGUUGGUUGAUUUUAUUGUGCAUUGAAAAGCAUUUCAGCACACCAUUUCUAUAUAGCUUUGAUUGUGUUAAGCUGAUUCAGUGAUAUUUUAUAUGUUUACAGUCUCUCACUUGAAUCAUUUUGCUCUAAAACAAAGUCAGAUCUCAAGAAACGAUAUUUGUAAUGGUUGUUGCUUGAGCGCUGGACUGAAAUCAGCCGUCAGUUUCUUUGAACGUUGCUGCUUUUCUUUCUAAUGACAUGAAAUGAGUGGUUUUGAGGUAAGUGUGUGAGGCGGGGGAGAUGUUUACACGACUGACUCAAAUCUGCAUUUCAGGCCUUCACCUAAACGGCACAGUUACAGUCAGAGACGCUGCCAACGGAUGCUGCUUCACAUUGGUUAUAAUACACAGUGCCACUCAAAAGUUUGUGAACCCCUUGCAGAAAAUUUGAGUAAUUUUAACAAAAGAAGAGAGAUCAUACAAAAUGCAUGUUAUUUGUCUGUCCAUAUUUUACAUAAAAGAUGUUAGCAUUUAAUCCACAAGACAAAAAAAAAUGGCAGAAAUGGACCCCGUUCAAAAGUUUGUGAACCCCUUGGAGAAAAUAAAAUUUUAACAAAAUAAGAGAGAUCAUACAAAAUGCAUGUUAUUUGUUAUUUAGUGCUGUCCAUAUUUUACAUAAAAGAUGUUAAAAUUUAGUCCACAAGACAAAAAAAUGGCGGAAAUUAUCACCGUUCAAAAGUCUGUGAACCCCUUGGUUCUUAGUACUGUGUGUGGUCACCUGAUGAGCCACGACUGUUUUUUUGGUUUUGUGAUGGUUGUUCAUGAGUCCCUUGUUUGUUCUGAACCGUUAAACUGAAAACUGUUCUUCAGAAAAAUCCUCCAUGCUCUGCAGAUUCUUCAGUUUUUCAGCAUUUUUGUGUAUUCGAAGCCUUUCGGGAAAAGUCUGUAUGGUUUUGAGAUCCAUCUUUUGACACUGAGGACGAUUGAGGGACUCAACACCACUAUUAAAAAAGGUUUGAACAUUCACUGAUGCUCCAGAAGGAAACAAGAUUCAUUAAUAAUAUUUUAUUAUUAUUUUUAUUUAAAUUUUUUCAUGUAGCAAUGCCCGUUGGAAGCAACAGAAAAUACUUGCAUAUUUCCUGGAAAACGAUUUACCUUGAUUUUUAAGUUCCAAAAGUUAAUGGGUUGUGUUUCCUUCUGGAGCAUCAGUGAAUGUUUUUUAACAUCCUAAAAUACAUUUUCUAUAUAAAUUCUAUUUUUUAGAACCUAAGAGAACUAUAAAUAAAUAAAUAAUGAAAAAUGCCUGCAUGCUUUGAGAAUUUAUUCUGAAAAUGUGUGAUUGUCAUAAAGAUAAUAUGUUGUCAAAAUGAUCUUUUUUUCUUUAUGCAAAAAAUUAAUAUUUUUUUAGAACCUGAAUUGAAAAGUGU
This 4389-nucleotide long non-coding RNA is filed under the name Carassius auratus (goldfish). RNAcentral's name for it is "lncRNA (ENSCARG00000041320.1)". Lineage: Eukaryota; Metazoa; Chordata; Actinopteri; Cypriniformes; Cyprinidae. The record is from RNAcentral.